Molecule: ribosomal RNA, 253 nt
Filed under: uncultured bacterium
Lineage: Bacteria
Description: partial 16S ribosomal RNA
Rfam family: Bacterial small subunit ribosomal RNA
Source: RNAcentral
UACGUAGGAGGCGAGCGUUGUCCGGAGUUACUGGGCGUAAAGUGUGCGCAGGCGGCGUCGCAAGUCGAGUGUGAAAGCCCCGAGCUUAACUUGGGAAUUGCGCUCGAAACUACGAUGCUGGAGUAUGGCAGAGGAAGGUGGAAUUCCACGUGUAGCGGUGAAAUGCGUAGAGAUGUGGAGGAACACCGAUGGCGAAGGCAGCCUUCUGGGCCAAUACUGACGCUCAUGCACGAAAGCGUGGGGAGCAAACAGG